RNAcentral lists this ribosomal RNA (434 nucleotides) under uncultured bacterium. Its description in RNAcentral is "partial 16S ribosomal RNA". It matches the Rfam family "Bacterial small subunit ribosomal RNA", at positions 29 to 508 of the family's 1533-position model. The record is from RNAcentral.
AGCGAACGCUGGCGGCAGGCCUAACACAUGCAAGUCGAACGAACUCUUCGGAGUUAGUGGCGGACGGGUGAGUAACACGUGGGAACGUGCCUUUUGGUUCGGAAUAACUCAGGGAAACUUGUGCUAAUACCGAAUGUGCCCUUCGGGGGAAAGAUUUAUCGCCAUUAGAGCGGCCCGCGUCUGAUUAGCUAGUUGGUGAGGUAACGGCUCACCAAGGCGACGAUCAGUAGCUGGUCUGAGAGGAUGACCAGCCACACUGGGACUGAGACACGGCCCAGACUCCUACGGGAGGCAGCAGUGGGGAAUCUUGCGCAAUGGGCGAAAGCCUGACGCAGCCAUGCCGCGUGAAUGAUGAAGGUCCUAGGAUUGUAAAAUUCUUUCACCGGGGACGAUAAUGACGGUACCCGGAGAAGAAGCCCCGGCUAACUUCGUGC